UUCGUCACCGCCAAAAAGAAAGAAAACAAGUUUAACCUAAAGAAAUUCUGUGUAUACGGUGUAUAGUGUAUAUUAAUCUACAUACGGGUAUGGCCACCAACAGUUCUGGCCGGUGGUGCCUUUCUUUUUUUUUUGUUCUUUUGAGACGCCAGAGCCACCUUAUCUCCAUCUCUACGACUCGAUAUCUCACCCCACCAGCUCUUGAAUUAUUCUGAUGAUCUUUGUCUGUGAUACCUGCAGGGCACCUCGGGAGUAAAUGAAUGGGGCCAGCUUCAUGUGCUGGAUUGACGACUCACUUAGUGAGCUACGGGUCCCAGUUCUGGCCAGCAUCGGAGACUCUACGUGGACAGCUAAGGAGACAAACGAGACAGAUUCGAGCCCAAUUGUAACGGAACGCGCCUGGGACCGUCUGCAAGACGCACGGAUGACGCUUCUGCAACGGACGCCACUUCGCGGCGACAGGCAAAAGCUAAGAGAAGCGCACGUUAUCUUCGUAUUUGCGUAUUCCUAUGAACAACAAAGCGCAACUUACAUUAAGCGCGCGGGAAAGCCUGACUGCGUUUUUUUUUUUUUUUUCUUGUGCGCAGAUGAUCUUUCCCGUCGAGCUUUCAAGCUGCCGGCUCAGCUGCCAUCUUGGUUGGACAGUAGGGUCGCCGGCAUCGUUUCUGACUUGGACGGUGUCUUCGCGGAGUUGUCGUUUUUUGGACGGCUUCGCCAGAAUUGGAGCGAGGCUUAGAUGCCCGCUGUCCACUUAUUUUUCUACUUUGCCGUCUACGGCGAGUAUUGGAAUACAGACUGCAGUCGGCGAGACGGUGUAUAGGAGUACCCAGCAGCCACGAUUGAUCAGCCUGGCCUCACAGUUCAUCAGCCCAGAAAGCCAUUCGAGCGCUUCUUCUGCACCUGACGGCAACAGGCUUCAGUGCCCGACUGCAGACAUGCUGCACCAAGCAUAGUGCAUGUGAAAGUGCGCUAUAGACUCAUGUCAUCUCUCUCUCUCUCUUUGACUCCUCUCCCCACGUGUAGGGUAGCAAACUGGACCCAGUCUGGUUAACCUCCCUGCUUUUCAUUUCUCCUCUCUCUCGCUCUCUCUCAAAUUACCUUCCCACGGACCACCGUCAAAGCACUCGGCGUCCUUCAACGGACACUAAAGAGAAAAAAAAAUAUUUCAGCUGUGGUAGUAAACUGCCCUUACACAAUACAAAAAAGCCUCACGCACCGUUGGCUCGGUGCAUACAUCACACCCUACGCUAAUUUACGUGUUCACGCCGAUAUACACGAUGAAUAAACGGAUACGCGCAGACUGCCCUUCUGAGAAAUAAAGGCAAGCUCAUGGCCCAUUGAAAUGCCGGCGCAUCCAGGUCGAACCGCCUGACUGGAAAACGGUGGUUCGGCGCUCAAAUCGCUCCCCGUGCAAAUUCAGUUGCUGACGCCGAUUUCCGCGGUGAAUAAACGGAUGAGCCCAGUUUGGCUUUCCAUGGAGAAUGUGGGCGCAUCCAGGUCCAGUCACUUCUCCGCAAAGCGCUGCUGUGGUGCA
Molecule: long non-coding RNA, 1534 nt
Organism: Dermacentor andersoni
Lineage: Eukaryota; Metazoa; Arthropoda; Arachnida; Ixodida; Ixodidae
Source: RefSeq, a predicted model, not a curated record